Molecule: ribosomal RNA, 1346 nt
Filed under: uncultured bacterium
Lineage: Bacteria
Description: partial 16S ribosomal RNA
Rfam family: Bacterial small subunit ribosomal RNA
Source: RNAcentral
GACGAACGCUGGCGGCGUGCUUAACACAUGCAAGUCGAACGGAAAGGCCCUGCUUUUGUGGGGUGCUCGAGUGGCGAACGGGUGAGUAACACGUGAGUAACCUGCCCUUGACUUUGGGAUAACUUCAGGAAACUGGGGCUAAUACCGGAUAGGAGCUCCUGCUGCAUGGUGGGGGUUGGAAAGUUUCGGCGGUUGGGGAUGGACUCGCGGCUUAUCAGCUUGUUGGUGGGGUAGUGGCUUACCAAGGCUUUGACGGGUAGCCGGCCUGAGAGGGUGACCGGCCACAUUGGGACUGAGAUACGGCCCAGACUCCUACGGGAGGCAGCAGUGGGGAAUAUUGCACAAUGGGCGGAAGCCUGAUGCAGCAACGCCGCGUGCGGGAUGACGGCCUUCGGGUUGUAAACCGCUUUCGCCUGUGACGAAGCGUGAGUGACGGUAAUGGGUAAAGAAGCACCGGCUAACUACGUGCCAGCAGCCGCGGUGAUACGUAGGGUGCGAGCGUUGUCCGGAUUUAUUGGGCGUAAAGGGCUCGUAGGUGGUUGAUCGCGUCGGAAGUGUAAUCUUGGGGCUUAACCCUGAGCGUGCUUUCGAUACGGGUUGACUUGAGGAAGGUAGGGGAGAAUGGAAUUCCUGGUGGAGCGGUGGAAUGCGCAGAUAUCAGGAGGAACACCAGUGGCGAAGGCGGUUCUCUGGGCCUUUCCUGACGCUGAGGAGCGAAAGCGUGGGGAGCGAACAGGCUUAGAUACCCUGGUAGUCCACGCUGUAAACGGUGGGUACUAGGUGUGGGGUCCAUUCCACGGGUUCCGUGCCGUAGCUAACGCUUUAAGUACCCCGCCUGGGGAGUACGGCCGCAAGGCUAAAACUCAAAGGAAUUGACGGGGCCCCGCACAAGCGGCGGAGCAUGCGGAUUAAUUCGAUGCAACGCGUAGAACCUUACCUGGGUUUGACAUGGAUCGGGAGUGCUCAGAGAUGGGUGUGCCUCUUUUGGGGUCGGUUCACAGGUGGUGCAUGGCUGUCGUCAGCUCGUGUCGUGAGAUGUUGGGUUAAGUCCCGCAACGAGCGCAACCCUUGUUCACUGUUGCCAGCACGUUAUGGUGGGGACUCAGUGGAGACCGCCGGGGUCAACUCGGAGGAAGGUGGGGAUGACGUCAAGUCAUCAUGCCCCUUAUGUCCAGGGCUUCACGCAUGCUACAAUGGCUGGUACAGAGAGUGGCGAGCCUGUGAGGGUGAGCGAAUCUCGGAAAGCCGGUCUCAGUUCGGAUUGGGGUCUGCAACUCGACCUCAUGAAGUCGGAGUCGCUAGUGAUCGCAGAUCAGCAACGCUGCGGUGAAUACGUUCCCGGGGCU